Molecule: ribosomal RNA, 468 nt
Filed under: uncultured bacterium
Lineage: Bacteria
Description: partial 16S ribosomal RNA
Rfam family: Bacterial small subunit ribosomal RNA
Source: RNAcentral
GACGAACGCUGGCGGCGUGCUUAACACAUGCCAGUCGAACGGAAAGGCCCUGCUUUUGUGGGGUGCUCGAGUGGCGAACGGGUGAGUAACACGUGAGUAACCUGCCCUUGACUUUGGGAUAACUUCAGGAAACUGGGGCUCAUACCGGGUAGGAGCUCCUGCUGCAUGGUGGGGGUUGGAAAGUUUCGGGGGUUGGGGCUCUGAUCGCUGGUUAUCAGCUGCAUGGGCGGGUGGUGGCUUACCAAGGCUUUGACGGGUAGCCGGCCUGGGAGGCUGACCGGCCACAUUGGCACUGAGGUGCGGCACAGAGUGCUAAGGGAGGGAGAAGUGCGGAAGAUUGAACAAUGGGCGGCACGCGGAUGCAGCAACGCCGCGUGCGGGAUGACGGCCUUAGGGUUGUAAACCGCUUUCGCCUGUGACGAAGCGUGAGUGACGGUAAUGUGUAAAGAAGCACCGGCUAACUACGUG